GACGAACGCUGGCGGCGUGCUUAACACAUGCAAGUCGAACGGAAAGGCCCUGCUUUUGUGGGGUGCUCGAGUGGCGAACGGGUGAGUAACACGUGAGUAACCUGCCCUUGACUUUGGGAUAACUUCAGGAAACUGGGGCUAAUACCGGAUAGGAGCUCCUGCUGCAUGGGGGGGGUUGGAAAGUUUCGGCGGUUGGGGAUGGACUCGCGGCUUAUCAGCUUGUUGGUGGGGUAGUGGCUUACCAAGGCUUUGACGGGUAGCCGGCCUGAGAGGGUGACCGGCCACAAUGGGACUGAGAUACGGCCCAGACUCCUACGGGAGGCAGCAGUGGGGAAUAUUGCACAAUGGGCGGGAGCCUGAUGCAGCAACGCCGCGUGCGGGAUGACGGCCUUCGGGUUGUAAACCGCUUUCGCCUGUGACGAAGCGUGAGUGACGGUAAUGGGUAAAGAAGCACCGGCUAACUACGUG
Molecule: ribosomal RNA, 468 nt
Filed under: uncultured bacterium
Lineage: Bacteria
Description: partial 16S ribosomal RNA
Rfam family: Bacterial small subunit ribosomal RNA
Source: RNAcentral